Xenia sp. Carnegie-2017 is the source of this 370-nucleotide long non-coding RNA. RefSeq lists it as uncharacterized. The record is from RefSeq and is a predicted model, not a curated record. NCBI's taxonomy places the organism in Eukaryota, Metazoa, Cnidaria, Anthozoa, Malacalcyonacea, Xeniidae. The transcript is spliced from 2 exons.
UACAUCAAAGUAGUGCUUGAUUUUUGGUCUUUGUUUUUUCAUGUAAGAUUUGAUUUGAGCAUGUCUGUCUGUGGUCAUUGACUUCACCUUCAUCCCACUUUCAUCAAACUUUGCCAGACAUCUUUUUAAUUCCUCAAGUUCCAUUGCUCCAGAGUUGGUCACUUCAUUGGACUGUUUAACAUAAUUAUAUUCAAAAUCCAUGCAGCUAUAUGACCCAUACUUGGCACAAUAUCCAGGAAAUCACAUCUUCCAUCUCUUCCAAGGUUAAUGUUUCUUUUGUUAAUUUAUUAUUAAAGCAGAAACAAAACAACAUAUAUUUAAUUAUUUAAGUUACAUAAUGAGCGUUGUCCUAAACCAUGCGGUAUCGAGC